UAAAGUUUAGUUAAUUUAUAACAUUAGCUUGUCAAGCUAAAAUUAUUAAAGACUAAUAACUUUAA
Molecule: transfer RNA, 65 nt
Filed under: Teslasena femoralis
Lineage: Eukaryota; Metazoa; Arthropoda; Insecta; Coleoptera; Elateridae
Description: tRNA-Asp
Source: RNAcentral